This is an RNA transcript of Oenanthe melanoleuca, 2891 nucleotides long. It is a transcript of the gene named dihydrouridine synthase 1 like, with no coding region annotated. Lineage: Eukaryota; Metazoa; Chordata; Aves; Passeriformes; Muscicapidae. The transcript is spliced from 13 exons. The record is from RefSeq and is a predicted model, not a curated record.
GCCGGCCGGAGCGAGAUGGCGGUGGCACCGUCCGGUGCCCGGCCUGGGCGCAGCGGUCGCCGGAGCCUGCGGGCGUCAGGCCGCGAGCCCCGGGGCGGCGGCGCGGAGCGGCAGCUGCCGCAACGCUGCACGGGCGAGUAGGCGGGAGAUGCCGAAGCUGCGCGGGGAAGCCUUCUGGAGGGAGACGCUGCGGAGCGCCCACUACGUGGUGGCGCCCAUGGUGGACCAGAGCGAGCUGGCCUGGAGGCUGCUGAGCCGCCGCCACGGCGCCCAGCUCUGCUACACACCAAUGCUGCACGCCCAGGUCUUCCUGAGGGACGCCAACUACCGCCGCGAGAACCUGUAUGGCGAGGCCUGUCCCGAGGACCGGCCGCUCAUCGUGCAGUUCUGUGCCAAUGAUCCUGAAGUGUUUGUCCAAGCAGCACUGUUGGCUCAGGAUUACUGUGAUGCCAUAGACCUGAAUUUGGGUUGCCCCCAAAUGAUUGCAAAGAGAGGUCACUACGGGGCAUUUCUGCAAGAGGAGUGGGAUCUUCUUCAGAGAAUGAUUUUACUGGCUAACGAGAAGCUCUCUGUUCCCAUCACAUGCAAAAUCCGCGUUUUCCCAGACAUUGACAAGACAGUGAAGUAUGCACAGAUGCUGGAGAAAGCUGGCUGCCAGCUGCUGACUGUGCAUGGCCGUACUAAAGAACAGAAAGGACCACUUGCUGGUGUGGCAUCCUGGGAGCACAUUCAAGCUGUGAGAAAAGCUGUAAACAUUCCUGUAUUUGCAAAUGGAAACAUCCAGUGUCUCAGCGAUGUGGAAGAAUGCAUCCGUAAGACAGGAGUACAUGGCGUCAUGAGUGCAGAAGGUAAUCUUCAUAACCCAGCUCUGUUUGAGGGCCGGAACCCGUUGGUGUGGGAGAUGGCUGAGGAGUAUCUGGAGAUCGUGCGGAAGUACCCGUGUCCGUUAUCUUACGUCAGGGCUCAUCUCUUCAAGCUGUGGCAUCACACGCUUCAAGUUUACCAGCAGCUGCGUGAAGAAUUAGCAAAAGUGAAGACUCUAGAGGGCAUCAUAGAUGUCAACAGGGAGCUGAAACUGCGAUGCCAGGAAGAAAUAGCUAAUCAGAAAGAAGGAGAAAAGCCAAAAGAAGGGUUGCCUUUUUUCCACUGGAUCUGUCAGCCAUACAUCAGGCCAGGGCCAAAGGAGAGGUGCAGGGAGAAUGGAGAUAGUGGAACUGAAAAAGGUGUACGAGGGAAACGUGCUCUGGAAGAAGAGGAAGAUGGAAAUUCUGAGCUUCUGUCAAAGAAUAAACAAAAAAAGAAGUUAAGAAAUCCAAAUAAAAGCUUUGAUCCAUCUUUAAAACCCAAAUAUGCAAAAUGUGAUCAAUGUGGAAACCCUAAGUUCAGCCUGCAGUGAGUGUCAGGCAGCACCUGCAGCUCUUCCUUCUGUUGUGUUUGGAUCUCUGCCUUUAUCAAAACAAGCAUAAGCACCUCCUCAUCCUCAGUCCUGCCUGUGCAGCAGAUUAACAUUGGCUUUUCCUGUUAGCAAUGCAAAACGAGGCAGCUGGUUUUACAGGUUCUGUAUUGAAAUUUCAAAUAUUUUGAUAUUUGCAGGGUUCAUUUUGCUUUUGCUUGUUUAGUUUUUCCUUGGGAAACAUAGCUGUUUGCUUGACAGGGUGGUGUUGCUGCGCUGUGAGCAGAGUGUAUUUAUUGCUGCUAAUAUACCUGUAAGUCAGGGUGUAAGAUACAAGUAAUUUUGUGUUCUAACUUAAAAAUUACCAUUUCACCUGCAACACAAGCAUGUGCUCUUGCUCUCUGUUGUAACACUGUUACUGCAGCACAGUAGUGGCAGCCAGGUGGGGCUCAAUUUGAAGCUGCAGCUACUGAAAAAUUAGGAUUUUUUUGUUGUGUUCAUUAUUGGGAAAGCAUUGAGCACUGGGCUGGCCUGCUUUCAAAGCCAUCCUGUUUCAUAGCUAAUCCAUGUGACAUCACUUGGUGCAUAAACCAGGAUUGUCUGCACCAGGGCUUAGACUUAUUUUUGUUGUGCACUUGCACUGCUGUAAUGGUGCAGGUAGCUCUUUAAAUCUUCUGACUAGACCUGUAAUUUUUUUUCCCUAAAUUAUGUGUUUCUGAGCCAUGUCAUGAAAUGGGGUGGGUGGGGUGUGGAGAAGGAGUUCAGCUAAAGCCUCCCUAAACAUUAAGGAUUUUCUGACUGGGGUGGAGGGAACCAUGCUAAACAACAUCAACCCUCUUUUCUAAAAUGUGUGUGAGCAAAGCACCCCAGAGACCCAGGCUUGUAUUGCCACAUCAUCAGUUAGCCAAGACUCAGCUGCUGCUGUCCCCUAAGGGUCACACAUUAUAUUUAAUAAAUAUGCAUGUGUAUUUUAAGAUGCAAAUAGGGAAGUGAUUCUGGUGGGAACAUAUUUUAGGCAUUGCUGCAGAUGGUAGCACUGUGUUUCAUGUUGCAGAGAACUAGAGCAAGCUGACCAGCACCAAGUGUGUUCAUGCUUGUUCCAGAGAGCUUAUGGCUUGUGCCUGCUUGUUGUGGGUAACUUAGGCUGCCCAACAGGCCAUGGGGGCUGCACAACUUGAAUGUGGAUUUCUUUUUGGUUGGUUGGGGGUUUUUUGUUCUUUAUGUGCAAACAGUGGAUAGCCCCCAAUAUGACAUCAACUCCAUCAUCUUCAUUAGGCUGAGAACAUGGGUUUUUUCCAAAGAUCUGAAAGUGCAGAGCUGUAUUGUUACUUAGUAUAGUAAACAGUAAUAAUUUUAUUUUCACUGACACAAGCUUCUUUAUACUGCCAUCCCAACCCAGGGCAAUAAAUGUGUGUUUAAUAUGUGCCGAGGAUGCUGUAAGAAAAGAGCAUUCAAGGAGGUAGCAGAUUGUCCAGGUCAUGGAUUACUUUUUAAGACC